RNAcentral lists this ribosomal RNA (406 nucleotides) under uncultured bacterium. RNAcentral describes it as "partial 16S ribosomal RNA". It matches the Rfam family "Bacterial small subunit ribosomal RNA", at positions 30 to 526 of the family's 1533-position model. The record is from RNAcentral.
AUUGAACGCUGGCGGCAGGCCUAACACAUGCAAGUCGAACGAGUGGCGGACGGGUGAGUAAUGUCUGGGAAACUGCCUGAUGGAGGGGGAUAACUACUGGAAACGGUAGCUAAUACCGCAUACCAUCGGAUGUGCCCAGAUGGGAUUAGCUUGUUGGUGGGGUAACGGCUCACCAAGCCGACGAUCCCUAGCUGGUCUGAGAGGAUGACCAGCCACGCUGGAACGGAGACACGGACCAGACUCCUACGGGAGGCAGCAGUGGGGAAUAUUGCACAAUGGGGGCAAGCCUGAUGCAGCCAUGCCGCGUGUAUGAAGAAGGCCUUCGGGUUGUAAAGUACUUUCAGCGGGGAGGCGUUAACCGCAGAAGAAGCACCGGCUAACUCCGUGCCAGCAGCCGCGGUAAUGC